This is a long non-coding RNA of Gopherus evgoodei (Goodes thornscrub tortoise), 134 nucleotides long. RefSeq lists it as uncharacterized. The transcript is spliced from 3 exons. The record is from RefSeq and is a predicted model, not a curated record. NCBI's taxonomy places the organism in Eukaryota, Metazoa, Chordata, Testudines, Testudinidae.
UGUUUCAAAUCUUUUUAUUACCCUGUAAAGUUAACUUCCAUGCUGAUUUUGAAGGUGUAAUUCUUUUACUUCUUUCCUUAUAAUAAUGUUCUUCUUUUAAGAACCUGAUUGAUUUUAGUGUCUAGGAGAUUCUG